This is a long non-coding RNA of Oenanthe melanoleuca, 4275 nucleotides long. RefSeq lists it as uncharacterized. NCBI's taxonomy places the organism in Eukaryota, Metazoa, Chordata, Aves, Passeriformes, Muscicapidae. The transcript has 3 exons. The record is from RefSeq and is a predicted model, not a curated record.
AAAGGAGUCGCGUUCCUUUUUCCGUGGGAAGGAGGUCAGCGCCGGCGGCGUGGGUGUCGCAGCAGUUCCGUACUCUGGUCUCCCUGUUGUGUUGAUCCGAAAGGUUCGUCCUAUCCAGAUUUUGUGCCUGAUGAGGAAAAUCCCCCUGCUCCCAUCAUGUUCUGGUGUUUCGGCUCCAGAUAAUACUUUCUGUGUGUAAUAACUCCCGCAUUCUGAGGAGGCUUGUCGGCACGGCGUGCCUUUGUCCACCUUUAAUCGGGGUCCGGGCAGGAGAGCGGCUCCCAGCCCUGGGCACGGGUUGGUGUGCCGCUGCUGCCGCUCGGGAAUGGUGUGCUCUCUCCGCAGCUCCGCCGGCGCUCCAUCGGAUUGCCUGGGAAGUCAGCGGGGCUGCCGGGUACCAGGAUAAAGUUCUUGGAAAGGCGUCAUUGCGAGAAGAGUGAGUACUGCACCGUGUGCUGCACGGAGGCUGCGGGGUUUGUUCGGUAACUGCGGACCGGUGGAGCACCGUGUAAGCAUAAUUUAUUGCCUUGUGUUCCUAAAUUACGUCUGAAUUUCACCUGAAUCACUUUUACUUUCUUCAUUGCUGUAGAAUUACGAGCCGACAUAAAACCUUCAGAUGUUUAACCUCUUUUUCAGCAGCCUUGUGUCUCACUCGGGCAAAACUCUUCCAAAUAUCAGGCUGAUUUGUGUUUUUCCUUCCCAGCUGACAGCGCACACAGGGACCACAGUUAAAGCCAGUCACGGAUUCAUUUCCUGCUGGAGUGCCUGAAAACAUUUUCAGAAAUGGAAGGAGAUAAAGGGCAAGGUGCUAAAGCUACCAGUGCAGUGGGUGACCUGAGGAGAAGCUGGCAGACGUGGGCAGAGGAUCACAUUGAGUAUCAGAGGAAGAAUCCCUUCAGCAGCGACGACAGGCUUGCAGCAAAACCUGCGCAUACUCACAGAGGAGACCCCACCUACGGGAGACCCCCCGAAGGGUCCCGGACUGAGCAGAGAGGGAAAGAUGCUCACUCACACGUGGGUAGGGAAGUAGAAGAGCUGUGCUUGGUCAUCAGAAGAACUGGAGAGGUGGGAGAAGAUGGACACGUGAGUGUGACAUUCGGGCAGCUGUUUGAAACAUACGUGACUAUUUCCAAUAAGGUAGUGGGAAUCUUGUUAAGAGCCAGGAAACACGGUCUGGUUCAUUUUGAAGGCGAAAUGCUUUGGCAAGGAAAAGAUGAUGAUGUGGUCAUCACUUUACUACAAUAAGGCUUUGUCCUGGGAUGAACUUUGCUGCGUGGUUCCAUUUGGAGAAUCUAGAUACCAUCUUCACAGGUUUUGCUUACAGAAUUUCAGCUUAGCUACCUACUGGGACACAAGCAGGAGAGGAAAUGGGCAAGAGGAUAAAGCAUAUUUUUGUAAAAAUGGUAGAGAUUUGGACAGAAAUCGCAGAUUAUGAGCUACUCCAUCAUGGUGACAUUGGAUUGUCCUUAUUAUCUGCUACCAAGUAUAUCAGAGUUUUUCAAAUAACUCUGCUGGCUUUUAGGUUACUGAAAUUAUUAACUUGCUACCCUACAACACUGAUUCCUGCAGGUUGUGAAAUACUUACUGCGUGUGAGAAUGGGAUUUGUAAAACAUGGAAUUGAAAACUCCUGUGGGAAUUCAUGUACUUCUUCAAACAAAGAACUUGGUAUAUAGCAAAAGUUUAGGUUCAAUCUCACAUGGUUACACCGAAUAAAUGGAAGUUAUUUUCAUGAACUAGGUGGAAAUUCCCAAACUUACAAAAAUGUCACAGCAAGGAUGCUCGAUGGUUCCUAAAUUAGCUGCAUCUUGCUUGGAUUUUGGACAGUUGCACUAGUUCUGGUAUUUAAUAGUCUAAUCUUAUAAUCAUGUCUUCUCCAAACCUUCUGUGUCUCUUGUUCUUUUUGUUUUCUAUCUCACACCAUUUUUACCUUUUCUGUUCUAACACUUCAGAAGAAGUCCACAAAGCUCUGCAGUCUUUUUGGUGAAUUCAGCUAUACCCCUUCACAGAAGGUAUGGUGCCACAAUGCAAAGAUUCAAAAAUCAACAGAAACUCUGUACAGGGGCACCUGUGCAUUCGUUAGGAGAAAAAAAGGCUCUUCUUUCACCAAAAUGUAACAAUGUUUUUUAUAAGAGGAGAGUAGAGAUACUGUAGUACCAAAUGCAUAAAUGAAAGAAUAACAGCAGUCUCGUACCUCAUUUAUCUGCUUUCAGAGCACAGUUGUGAGCUCUUCAGAAAGAAAAAUAAAGGAUUGGUUAUAUAAAAUAGUUGUAAUAGUGCUAUGAAAAAUAUUCAGAAGCUGUAUUUACAAUAGUUCCCACCAGUGAAGCUGUAUAAUUAGAAAUCCAAAGUUCUGUUUUUUAGCAGUGCAAAUAGAAGCUUCUGUGUGGUGUUAACUACGCUGCUUGAUGAGUCUUUAAAGUAAGAUACUGUCUUGCAUUCAAAAGGAUAUUAAAAUUUAAUAUAAAUUAGGAACUUGAUAAAAGUGAUAUGCAAUUUUAUUCUAUUUAUAUAAAUGACCUUCUAUUGCAAAAAGCCUAAAAGAAUAGGGUUUUGUAUUGAUGUUUUCACCCAAUGAGGAUUUGCAUCAAACUAAGUCUUUGGCUGAGGAUUUCAUUAUUACCCUGCCUCCUUUUUUUCCAGUAAAAGAACAAUGAAAAGAGAAAAAAAAAGAAUAAAUUAAUAUGCUAAAAUAAGUAUAUUUGGGGAAGUGGGCAAUCAAAUGCAGGUAGAGAAUGGGUUUUAAUCCCCACAUUUUAGCACAUUGGAAAAGGGGGAAUAUAUGCUGCACCAGGCAUUCUUGGCGUGUUUCCUUAGAUUUCAAACCUACUGCUUCCCUAAACAGAUCUACAUCUUGCAGCUGAAAAAGAAGACAUGUGGUUUGUGAACUUAACAUACUUAAAAUGCUUUGUUCUUUCUGGAAAAAUACUUCUUGCCAAAUAACAUGAGCACACCUCACAGUAUUUUGGCUCAUGUUAGAGGAAGUCUUUACGUGUAUUCAGAUUUCAACACAAAUUGAGCCUUUUAUAGAGCAGAUACGGAAUGAGUUUUUUUCAAUUCUAAGGAUUCUGAAAUCCACUCAGUUCUGCUGUAGUGUUAGUUCAUAACUUGUAGGAAGCAGCAUUGGGCACUUCAAGUAUCAUAAGCUGACUAAUGGAAUGGCACUAUCAGGAAAAAUAAUACAUUGCUGGACUUUAUACAGAUAAUUCUUUGCAAGACACACGUGAGGCAGUAGGUAGCCUGAGCACCAUAAGAUGCAAGUCCAGCUCACAAAAAUUUACUAGAUUGUAAUUAAGGCUGGCUCAAAUAGUUAAAUAUCAGCAAUCCAGGCUGUCACUGCCAUGUAAGUGGUAGAUCUUGAGCACAUCUACAAGCACUUUAAGUACACCUCUGAUCAAAACAGAAGCAAACCCUUAAUGACACAGUCUUACCUACUUUGUAAGCAACAAAAAAAUCUUGCUCUAUUAUUAUAUUUUUAGUAGAACCAAGGAUUAGUAUAUAACAAAACUAUUAUUUUUAGAGGGAUUUUUUUUAAACAGUUACAGAGCCACGUUUCCAACCUGCCAGCUUUAGAUGAGCAUUCUGGAAAGCGUGACUGAAAUCUUUCUGUGUGCCCAUGCAAUGAUUAUAAACACCGAGCUGCCAAACUGGCUCAGCACACAGGUUGACAAAUCCAGUCUUGUGCUUCCAGCAAUAGCCAGUAUUUUAAAAAAAGACUAAAAGAUAGGUAACAGAACUGGUCAGCUUGCCCACUGGUACAGUCUAGAAUAAAAAAUUACUCCUGAAGCCUGUAUAGUCAUGAAUGCAUUCUAUCUAAUGCACAUGAUUCAGUUUAGCUACAAGUUUUACAAAAUUUUGCUUCAUCUGUGAUUAGAUUAACAUCAACAGAUGAAAUAGGAAUUUAAACUUUUCAACAGGAUUUUUUUUUUCAGCAGGCUCCCAUUAGAGUAAAUGAAAGAGAAUUUAUUAAAUUAUUUUUUGCAAAAAUUGUUGCACGUGGUUUUAGUAUUGCAGAUUAUUUGGAGUAGUAAGUAAACCCCAACCUCUUAAAAAGUGUUCUUGCCCUACUAAGCACCUUUCAGCUGUUUAAAUCUCUCCUAAACUUCACUUUGUGACAGAUUACCUCAGUGGUCUUUCCUCUCCUUCCACUUGAAGCCUGUAAAAUCUGCAUCUGUUUUGGACUGUAAUAUCAUAUAGGGAUCAUCCAUGGUUUGUUUUGUCAAACACUGAAGGCACUGUCACCAUUUCAAUAAAUGUUGCUCAUUAGUUUGAAAUGA